AUCAAAGUUCAGUCACCUGACUGAUUUAUUCAUGAAAUUUAAAUAUGACACUAUUUAUAAGAAACAAAAAAAUGCAAACUAAAAAAAAGUUUUGUUUUAGGUUUGGAUAAACCCCUCCCACCUCAGGGGCCCUGGGUAGUCCUACUCUUCCACCACCGCUUCCACGCCCCUGCUUGCGUUGACACGAUCACGGAAGAGGCGGAAGACGCACGGAGGAAACAUAUUUAAACAACAUUAAAUGUUAAUGUUUUUAAUAAAGUACAAAUCAGAUAAUCUCAAACCCAGGAUCUAUCGAUGAGGAAGUUUAAAGUUUGUUUUAAAGCUGAAGAAGGAAAAGUCCGAACACGGAAAUGAGAGCUGGGAGGUCUGCGUGUCUCUGCUGGAGUUUGCUGUCUGUCUGCGUCCUGCUGGUCUCUGCAGACUGGAAAAUCAUCACAGCGGAUACUGGACAGACUGCCACUCUGUCGUGUCGAGGUCCAAACAGCGACAUCACAGGUGUGGAGUGGAGCAGAGCUGACCUGAAGACACAAUAUGUCCUUUUGUACCGGGACCAGCAGCUUGAUUCAGCAAACCAGCAUCCAAAUUUUAAGGACCGGGUGGAUCUGCAGGACAGACAGAUGACGGAUGGAGACGUGUCUUUGAUUCUGAAGGAUGUGAAGAUUGAGGACACGGGAACAUAUGAGUGUCGUUUGUUAGAUGGGAAGUCCAUCAGCAGCAUCUACCUGAGAGUUGUUCCUGCAGGUGAGUGAGUAGAGUUGAGUGUGUGUGUGAUCAGAGGUGAAGCUGCUUCCUGGUUGUUGAUGUUUGUUUCUAAAGAUGUUGUUGAUGAGACUUUGUAGAAAGCAGCUGGUCUGAGUGAUGUGAUCAGAGUGCAGUAGAUAAUGUCUGACAGCAGUUUGAAGAGGAAAUGGAUUCUGUUCUGUUCUUCACUCAUCACCUACCUGACAGCUGACACCUCACACCUGUUUCUCACCUGCAGGUCAGACAGGAGGACAGAGUGGAGACGGAGUGAACGAGGAUGGAUUUGUUGGACUGAAAGCUGGUCUGCCCCUUCCUGCGAUGUUCAUCAUUGCUGGUGUUUUUUUAAUUUACCGAAAACAUAAAAAACGCAGGCGUCACGGUUUGUACUAUCAUGUGUGAACUGAAACUCUUUGUUGCACUACAUGAAGUAGGAAAAUGGUGGAGUGGUUUACAGUGGAGAUGUGGCCAUUACUUUUAUUUAUUGUUUGCACAGAAGGACAACAGAGCAAUGCUAAACUGUAGUAUGCUGGUAACAGAACUUUGGCUCUUUGCAACCAUUUGCACAGACAGUAUGCUAAUGCUAAGCUAAGUUAGCCAAUAACCCUGAGUGUUGCUGAAACUGGGUGUAUGCAGACCCCAGCCCAGCAGCCAGAGUCUGAACUGUAACAGGUAACAAAGGCAGAGAUGAUCAGUCAGACUUGAAAUUGCUGUUUCUACCUGUCCAUGUUUCUACAGUGGAGCAGCUGGUGAUCGCUUUGAAGUCUCUUUGGGCUGCUUUGUGUUGAAACCUUAAUAAUAAAAGAAAGAUCAUAUGUGUGUCCUCAUUAGGAUAGGGAUUUCUGUUGGUGUGUGGGACAGGGUGUCAUGACACCAAAGCUAGUUAUAAGACACAAACAGGAGAAGCAAACUGAGCUGUUAGAGUUCAUGACAGAAACUGAGUAAUAUGUCAUGUGACCUUGAUUUUUCCCUUUUCUCGGUGGCGGUUUUGUGAGGUGCAGAACUGUUGGACGAUUGUAAAGCUGAGAUCACAUGAACUCAGAUUAUAUCAAGUAAUUAGUAGACAUGGAAGUAUUUUUUUCUUCUCUCCAAAGUGUUAAGUGUUUUCUCUUAAAGGUGAAGCCAGUUUUCCUCUCUAUGAAUUAUAAUGUAAGAUGUCCUGGUUUUACAGUUUUGUAAACAAAUCUUUAUAUUUUAUAAGCUAAUGCUAAAAAAAAAUGUUUUAUUUGUGAAUGUGAAGAUAUCCUGUAAAUUGUCAGAUUAAUGUAACUAUUACAGUAAAAUGACUCUUUGCACAGAUAAAGAUUUACCUCCAUGUGUGAGUGAUGGAAGCAGAUGCUGUAUAGACAUAUUUGUGUUCACUGAAAGUCAAGACAAGAACGUCUCGUGUGGUGUGCACAUUUAAAAACAGGGUCUAAAAGGUAAAGAGGAUUGGGUAGACAGAGGAUGGAGGGUGGAUAAUUUUUUAUACAUGCAAAUAAGAAAAAAUGAUUAUAAUUAAGGAUUAAACCAUAUCGCUGUGCAUUCAUGCUACUGGAAGGAUUCAUUCAAUAGGAUAACAUCAACUUACAUCACUAAUGCAUUUAGUAUUUAAGUAUUUUCUUUAAAGUGAACAUAAAACGCUACAUGUAAAAAGGCUAAUCUACACCACGAAGCCACGCUCUAAAAAGCUUUCACAGAUUUAACACUGUCUGUGACGCUGGAAAUAAAGUUUCUAUUUGUAGAGUAUGUUUGGCACCAUGUUGUGCAAGUACAGCAUGUGAUGUUACUGGGUUGGUCGGCUAAUAGACUUCUAUUCAUUUAUGUUUGCUAACUAGCGACAGAUCAGAUCACUUAGUGCAAAGCAAGAAUACGAAAACUAAAAUCAGCAUUAGUUUUGUGAACCACCAGUGUACCUGACUCAAACAGGCUCUCCUCCUCAUUCUUAACACAGGUGGAUUCUCAUGUUUCAGUUCAGCUAGCCGACGUUGAAGAAUCACUUACUGCUAAAGAGACAGAGAGUGAAAGUGGACAGUUUAUCCUCAGUUUCUUAGUAUAAAAUAACUCAUUGUUGCAGACAGGGACAGUACAAAAUCAUCCCCUUAGACUGGUUUUUAGUUUUAGUUUCUAUGUUUUCUGCUAAGUUAUUGGUUAUGUCGUUAGUUAGCUAACAUAAACUUAUGCAUGUCUGUGAGUUGCAAGCAAUCAGCCAACCCAGUGAUGUCACGCUCUGUACUGACACAAGAUGGUGCUUAAUAAAAUGAAUCUUUAAACACUCACUAUUUUAAAUCCAGCUUCAGAGACAGUGUUACACCUCUGACAGUCUUUGACAGCAGGGCUCCAUGGUGUAAACUAACCUUUACACAUGUAGUGUUUUAUGUCCACUUUAAAUACAAUGCAGGGAUUUAGUGUAACACAUGGGAUACGUCCAAGUGAACACGUUGGUAAUUACUUAAAAGUCUUCUUAACUUACAAAGUUUUUCUGUCAGGCUGUAAAGAUGUCGUUAUAUAAACUUUGACAGGUGACAGGAUAUGAUGUAUGCUGCUGUAGUGAAACUGGAAUGGGGUUUAAAACAGAUUUUAACACAGAUAAUUUAUGCACUUUUUAAUUUUAUGAUCCUUAAGACUUUGAAAAAGUAUUUUCAUGAAGUCAGAUCUCCUAUCGUGAGAGCACAGGGUGCGCUUUACUGUGACAUCAGAGGCUGAGGAGGGGGAGAAGCUUCCACUUUAUCUUUGUGGUAAAACAUUUCACUGUGUUUAAAGACAUGAAUAAAAACUGUGUUAAAUCAG
Long non-coding RNA from Oreochromis aureus, 3507 nucleotides. NCBI's taxonomy places the organism in Eukaryota, Metazoa, Chordata, Actinopteri, Cichliformes, Cichlidae. The record is from Ensembl.